GCGCUCUUAGCUCAGUUGGAAGAGCAACUGGUUUACACCCAGUAGGUCGGCGGUUCGAGCCCGUCAGAGCGCA
RNAcentral lists this transfer RNA (73 nucleotides) under Corynebacterium marinum. Its description in RNAcentral is "tRNA-Val". It matches the Rfam family "tRNA". From Rfam's summary of the family: Transfer RNA (tRNA) molecules are approximately 80 nucleotides in length. Their secondary structure includes four short double-helical elements and three loops (D, anti-codon, and T loops). RNAcentral also lists the same sequence under 1 other name. Lineage: Bacteria; Bacillati; Actinomycetota; Actinomycetes; Mycobacteriales; Corynebacteriaceae. The record is from RNAcentral.